This 491-nucleotide ribosomal RNA is filed under the name uncultured bacterium. Its description in RNAcentral is "partial 16S ribosomal RNA". It matches the Rfam family "Bacterial small subunit ribosomal RNA", at positions 29 to 506 of the family's 1533-position model. The record is from RNAcentral.
AGUGAACGCUGGCGGUAGGCCUAACACAUGCAAGUCGAACGGCAGCACAGUAAGAGCUUGCUCUUACGGGUGGCGAGUGGCGGACGGGUGAGGAAUACAUCGGAAUCUACUUUUUCGUGGGGGAUAACGUAGGGAAACUUACGCUAAUACCGCAUACGACCUAUGGGUGAAAGCAGGGGAUCUUCGGACCUUGCGCGAUUGAAUGAGCCGAUGUCGGAUUAGCUAGUUGGCGGGGUAAAGGCCCACCAAGGCGACGAUCCGUAGCUGGUCUGAGAGGAUGAUACGCACCACUGGAACUGAGACACGGUCCAGACUCCUACGGGAGGCAGCAGUGGGGAAUAUUGGACAAUGGGCGCAAGCCUGAUCAAGCCAUACCGCGUGGGUGAAGAAGGCCUUCGGGUUGUAAAGCCCUUUUGUUGGGAAAGAAAAGCAGCAGGUUAAUACCCCGCUGUUCUGACGGUACCCAAAGAAUAAGCACCGGCUAACUUCGU